Molecule: ribosomal RNA, 271 nt
Filed under: uncultured bacterium
Lineage: Bacteria
Description: partial 16S ribosomal RNA
Rfam family: Bacterial small subunit ribosomal RNA
Source: RNAcentral
UACGUAGGGUGCGAGCGUUAAUCGGAAUUACUGGGCGUAAAGCGUGCGCAGGCGGUUUUAUAAGCCAGAUGUGAAAUCCCCGGGCUUAACCUGGGAACUGCAUUUGUGACUGUAAGACUAGAGUGCGGCAGAGGGGGGUAGAAUUCCACGUGUGAGCAGUGAAAUGACGUAGAUAUGUGGAGGAAUACCGAUGGCGAAGGCAGCCCCCUGGGUCCGACACUGACGCUCCAUGCACGAAAGCGUGGGGAGCAAACAGGAUUAGAAACCCCGA